CCAAACUGUUGCCUCGGCGGGAUCUCUGCCCCGGGUGCGUCGCAGCCCCGGACCAAGGCGCCCGCCGGAGGACCAACCAAAACUCUUUUUGUAUACCCCCUCGCGGGUUUUUUAUAAUCUGAGCCUUCUCGGCGCCUCUCGUACGCGUUUCUAAAAUGAAUCAAAACUUUCAACAACGGAUCUCUUGGUUCUGGCAUCGAUGAAGAACGCAUCGAAAUGCGAUAAGUAAUGUGAAUUGCAAAAUUCAGUGAAUCAUCUAAUCUUUGAACGCACAUUGCGCCCGCCAGUAUUCUGGCGGGCAUGCCUGUCCGAGCGUCAUUUCAACCCUCGAACCCCUCCGGGGGGUCGGCGUUGGGGAUCGGCCCUGCCUUGGCGGUGGCCGUCUCCGAAAUACAGUGGCGGUCUCGCCGCAUCCUCUCCUGCGCAGUAGUUUGCACACUCGCAUCGGGAGCGCGGCGCGUCCACAGCCGUUAAACACCCAACUUCUGAAAUGUUGACCUCGGAUCAGGUAGGAAUACCCGCUGAACUUAAGAAUAUCAAUAAGCGGAGGAA
RNAcentral lists this ribosomal RNA (552 nucleotides) under Trichoderma sp. RNAcentral describes it as "eukaryotic LSU rRNA". The stretch from base 165 to 318 matches the Rfam family "5.8S ribosomal RNA". Lineage: Eukaryota; Fungi; Ascomycota; Sordariomycetes; Hypocreales; Hypocreaceae. The record is from RNAcentral.